Molecule: ribosomal RNA, 468 nt
Filed under: uncultured bacterium
Lineage: Bacteria
Description: partial 16S ribosomal RNA
Rfam family: Bacterial small subunit ribosomal RNA
Source: RNAcentral
GACGAACGCUGGCGGCGUGCUUAACACAUGCAAGUCGAACGGAAAGGCCCUGCUUUUGUGGGGUGCUCGAGUGGCGAACGGGUGAGUAACACGUGAGUAACCUGCCCUUUACUUUGGGAUAACUUCAGGAAACUGGGGCUAAUACCGGAUAGGAGCUCCUGCUGCAUGGUGGGGGUUGGAAAGUUUCGGCGGUUGGGGAUGGACUCGCGGCUUAUCAGCUUGUUGGUGGGGUAGUGGCUUACCAAGGCUUUGACGGGUAGCCGGCCUGAGAGGGUGACCGGCCACAUUGGGACUGAGAUACGGCCCAGACUCCUACGGGAGGCAGCAGUGGGGAAUAUUGCACAAUGGGCGGAAGCCUGAUGCAGCAACGCCGCGUGCGGGAUGAAGGCCUUCGGGUUGUAAACCGCUUUCGCCUGUGACGAAGCGUGAGUGACGGUAAUGGGUAAAGAAGCACCGGCUAACUACGUG